Molecule: ribosomal RNA, 655 nt
Filed under: uncultured Inocybe
Lineage: Eukaryota; Fungi; Basidiomycota; Agaricomycetes; Agaricales; Cortinariaceae
Description: eukaryotic LSU rRNA
Rfam family: 5.8S ribosomal RNA (bases 261-414)
Source: RNAcentral
GUUUCCGUAGGUGAACCUUGCGGAAGGAUCAUUAUCGAAUAAACUUGAACAGGCUGUUGCUGGUCCCAGGACAAUGUGCACGCUUGUCAUCUUUAUCAUUUCUCCCAACUGUGCACAUAUUGUAGACCCUGGAUUUUGUUCCGAGUGGGGACUGCUGUGCUUCAAAAGAAGUCGGCUUUCCCCUUGAAGGUCUAUGUUUGUUUUUCACAACCUCUCGAAUGUGUUUAGAAUGUUGAAAUAAAGAAAAGUUAAUAAAAUACAACUUUCAGCAACGGAUCUCUUGGCUCUCGCAUCGAUGAAGAACGCAGCGAAAUGCGAUAAGUAAUGUGAAUUGCAGAAUUCAGUGAAUCAUCGAAUCUUUGAACGCAUCUUGCGCUCCUUGGUAUUCCGAGGAGCAUGCCUGUUUGAGUGUCAUUUAAACUCUCAAACCACAUCAUUUGUUUGACGUGGCUUUGGAUGUGGGGGUUGCCGGCUUUCUUCUCAGAGAGCCCUGCUCCCCUGAAAUGCAUUAGUGGUAUCUGGAGUGGAAAACUGCUAGGUGUGAUAAUACUGUCUAUGCCUUUGGUUAUGCCACAAUGUGCUGCUUCUAAACCGCACAUUUUUGUGCUUUUGACAAACUUGACCUCAAAUCAGGUAGGACUACCCGCUGAACUUA